GACGAACGCUGGCGGCGGGCCUAACACAUGCAAGUCGAACGGAAAGGCCCUGCUUUUGUGGGGUUCUCGAGUGGCGAACGGGUGCGUAACACGUGUGUAUCCUGCCCUUGACUUUGGGAUAACUUAAGGUAACUGGGGCUACUCCCGGAUAGGAUCUCCUGCUCCAUGGUGGGCGUUGGAACUUCGCGGCUGUUGGGGAUGGACUGGCGGCUUAUCAGCUUGUUGGUGGGGUAGGUGCUUACCCAGGCUUUGACGGAUAGGCGGCCUGAGAGGGUGACCGGCGACCAUGGGACUACGAUACGGAGCAGAGUCCUAUGGGAGGCAGUAGUGGGGAGUAUUGCCCAAUGGGCGCAAGCCGGAGGCAGAAGCGCCGGGUUCGUGAUGACGGCCUGUUGGUUGUAAACCGCUUUAGCCUGUGACGCAGCGGGAGUGACGGUACUGGGUAAAGAAGCACCGGCUAACUACGUG
This 468-nucleotide ribosomal RNA is filed under the name uncultured bacterium. RNAcentral's name for it is "partial 16S ribosomal RNA". It matches the Rfam family "Bacterial small subunit ribosomal RNA", at positions 28 to 507 of the family's 1533-position model. The record is from RNAcentral.